AGGAUGAUCUCAGAGCUGAGCAGCUUGAUAGAUCAGCCAGUUGUGGACUUCCAGAACGUGGGUUCUUUCGUUCAUCAGCUGAAAGGGAGCAGCUCAAGGUAAUUGUCUCCAAUCUGAAUGGAUUCAGUUGUUGAUACUUAUGGAAUACCAUAUAGAAUUUAGAGGUUUUUUCCUUCUCCUUUUUUUCUUCGACUU
Asparagus officinalis (garden asparagus) is the source of this 195-nucleotide long non-coding RNA. RefSeq lists it as uncharacterized. NCBI's taxonomy places the organism in Eukaryota, Viridiplantae, Streptophyta, Magnoliopsida, Asparagales, Asparagaceae. The record is from RefSeq and is a predicted model, not a curated record. The transcript is spliced from 3 exons.